Molecule: long non-coding RNA, 1236 nt
Organism: Camelus dromedarius (Arabian camel)
Lineage: Eukaryota; Metazoa; Chordata; Mammalia; Artiodactyla; Camelidae
Exons: 3
Source: RefSeq, a predicted model, not a curated record
ACACAGCCUGCCACUUUCUAUUUGUGUAAUCUUGGUCUAUGACCUUUAAACCUCAGUAUUCUCUACGAAUUGGAGAGAGCAGUAUCUACUUUGCAGCGUGUUUGUAAACGGAGAUAUCCAGAAGCCGACCUCUUUCCACUGCCUCCACUGUUACCACCCUGGUCCAGCCACAAACACCUGGAGCCUGGAUGACUGCAAUGGCCUCGUACCUGGUUCCUCUGCUUCCCUCCUGCCCUGCUUAUGUUCUACUCUCAAUACAGCCACCUGUGUAAUUUCAUUAGAAGAUGCUCAACCAGAUUUUUCAUUUGAAGUGUGCCUCAUUGCUGCUCAAACUGGAGGCAGAGUCAGCACCAGAAACUCCAAGCAAAGCACAAGCGGAGAGCUGGAAGGACUUUAGAGUCAAUUUGCCUUAGUGUCUAGUCGGGCUCCAGGGCAUUUACAGGAGAUGGAAGGCAGGGAAUUCACCUUUAUUGAGUGCCUGUUAGGUGCUAGGACCCGUGCUGGGUAUUUUCACCUUUAUUAGUUCAUUUUAUCCUCACAAUGACCUUGGGCAGUAGGUAUGAUUCAUCAUAUUGGCCUUUUCUCCUUCUUUCAGUCAGCUUGCUUUCUCACUCCUGCUUCUUGGAAUCACCUCCCAAAUAAACUAACUGCCCUCGAGUCCUUGUCUCGGACUCUGAUUUGGGGGGAAUCCAAACCAAAAUACUUGGGUUUUUGGUAGAAUGGAAAUGAGGGCCAUCUUGUGUGCUGAUUAGUGAGAGAGAUGGUUAUUGCUGUGAGAUCUGUAAGAAAAUAGACUAAACCAGAGAGAGACCCUGAAGCAGAGUAAACAAUCCCAAGGAAGGAGCUCUGUUAAGAAAAUUUCCCUUAAGUAGAGCUUUCUUUGAGAAAAUCUAUGCAAAGUGUUUCAUUCAGUAUGCCUGGAAGAAAAGACAUCAAAACAUUAACUGUUUUUCUCUUCUGAAUUAACCUUCAGUUGAAGUUCCCCUGAUCUGACUCACUUCUCUUUCUGGAUCAGUCUUGACUGCCCCCUGGGGAAUCUCAAUUUCUGUCACUGAAAUAAUGACGUUUUCUUCCCCUGCUCCUCGCACCCCUUAGAAGACACUCAGCUGUCAUUGUCUACCUGGAAAGUAACACAGCAUGUUAGUUAAAAUAAGUUGUGGGCAAGAGUCAGCUCGAGUUCUAGUCAGCUGGGUGACUUGGUCUAGCAGUCAGGCUUUGCUGCAGGAACAAACCUCC